GUCGCCGUUCAACUGCGUCUGAUUUUAUCGCCUACUGGAGAGAGAGGAGUGGGAUCUUAUCUGAGAGCGUGCUUCAUAUGUAUGCCAGAAACAUCAGCACUGCGACUUCUUAUCUCGACGAAACGAACUACAGUACGUUCUUGCAAUGACAUUAUUGCAUUUGCGCUCUCCUCAUGGAAUGUAUUUCAAGAAAUAGGAAUCAGAGAACUAGGAAGAGUCCAUCGGGACCAGUUGUGCAUCAUCGUUGAUUGUAUCGCGUAAUACGAUCGCUUACUGUGACUUCCCGGAGUUUGAUCUCUGCAGUAGAAUUUGAAUACGUCAGAGAGAAGAGGGCUGUCAGAGUGUAUUACUCUUGUUAACCACAGAGAGCCCUCUCGUCAAACGAAGCCAGCGCGUUUCGAAAUAGAAAAAAGAACGUCGAUGGUAAAGAGAAUCAAUCAUGCAAGGUGAGAGUGGAACAAAGACAGACGGCUGCAAGAAAAAAAGGACGUCCGGGCACUUAAGUAUCCCGCUAAGAAGAAAAGAAAAGAAAAAAAGGUCAGUCUUCUUGUCUCUCCUCUCGUAAACACGGCUCCGCGUUCAGCCUGGAUAUCUAUAUUUCUCACCGUCCUCUUCCUAUUCCAUGCAUAUUCAUCCGAGGCGGUGGGACAAACUGGAUUUUCUCGGCGAGAGUACCCGCGGCAAAACGGGACAAAACUUUUUUCCUUGAUGAAAGAACGCUCAUCGCCUUUAUUACGCUCUGAUGCAAGACCCGUGUACGCAGUUUCUCUCCCACCGGAUUCGAAACUUCCACACCUGGCCGCCUCCGUUACGACCGUCCUCUCACCGGGUUUUCACCUCCUUUCCAUCUUAUACCAAUAAUGAAGAUCUUCCGCGUCGAGGUCUCUGGAGACGAGCCGCGGACUUCUCUGACGGACACCGAGACCGAUCGAAUACGCUCCGCGGGAAAUGAGAGGGAAGCACUCGUCUCGUUUAUCAAUUUCAUUUAAUCCAACAUCUCCUUGCCCGUUUGUCGCCGUCGGUAUAUUACAGAUUGUUUCAUCGAUCCCCGCGGGAGGCCGAUUGUUUGCCGGACGGAGGAAAUACCAGGCUUUCCAUUCCAUAAAAUUUGAUAAAGUAAGACGUCGGUUCCCGGGGAUAAGGGUAUUUGCCAUCGAGAAGUCGCGAGGAACUGCAGGAGGAGCCACGGAAGGAAAGAGAGGUAAAGGGCUUUGAGCUUUGCAGAGAAUCCGAGCUUCGCUGAGUUGCAUCAGAACGGAAGUGAACUUACACGUAACUGGAGAUCGAGGCGCAUAUUGCGAAUCAAACGCUCCUUGAAUUCAAUUGACGUAGAAUCCCUGUAAGCCGACAAGCUACUCAGUCGAACGCAGUCGAAACAGUUCGCCGUUACGUCGAUAACGCGAGUCCUAUUAAACAAUUUGUAACAC
Ceratina calcarata is the source of this 1427-nucleotide long non-coding RNA. RefSeq lists it as uncharacterized. The record is from RefSeq and is a predicted model, not a curated record. NCBI's taxonomy places the organism in Eukaryota, Metazoa, Arthropoda, Insecta, Hymenoptera, Apidae. The transcript has 5 exons.